CAAACGACUCUCGGCAACGGAUAUCUCGGCUCACGCAUCGAUGAAGGACGCAGCAAAAUGCGAUACUUGGUGUGAAUGGCAGAAUCCCGUGAACCAUCGAGUUUUUGAACGCAAGUUGCGCCCGAAGCCAUUCGGCCGAGGGCACGUCUGCCUGGGCGUCACGC
RNAcentral lists this ribosomal RNA (164 nucleotides) under Vittadinia australis. RNAcentral's name for it is "5.8S ribosomal RNA". It matches the Rfam family "5.8S ribosomal RNA". Rfam says of the family: 5.8S ribosomal RNA (5.8S rRNA) is a component of the large subunit of the eukaryotic ribosome. The record is from RNAcentral. Lineage: Eukaryota; Viridiplantae; Streptophyta; Magnoliopsida; Asterales; Asteraceae.